GCACAAGGGAGUUUACUCAUGAGGUGGCGAGCGGCGGACGGGUGAGUAAUGCCUAGGGAUCUGCCCAGUCGAGGGGGAUAACAGUUGGAAACGACUGCUAAUACCGCAUACGCCCUACGGGGGAAAGAGGGGGACCUUCGGGCCUCUCGCGAUUGGAUGAACCUAGGUGGGAUUAGCUAGUUGGUGAGGUAAUGGCUCACCAAGGCGACGAUCCCUAGCUGUUCUGAGAGGAUGAUCAGCCACACUGGGACUGAGACACGGCCCAGACUCCUACGGGAGGCAGCAGUGGGGAAUAUUGCACAAUGGGGGAAACCCUGAUGCAGCCAUGCCGCGUGUGUGAAGAAGGCCUUCGGGUUGUAAAGCACUUUCAGUAGGGAGGAAAGGGUGAGUCUUAAUACGGCUCAUCUGUGACGUUACCUACAGAAGAAGGACCGGCUAACUCCGUGCCAGCAGCCGCGGUAAUACGGAGGGUCCGAGCGUUAAUCGGAAUUACUGGGCGUAAAGCGUGCGCAGGCGGUUUGUUAAGCGAGAUGUGAAAGCCCUGGGCUCAACCUAGGAAUAGCAUUUCGAACUGGCGAACUAGAGUCUUGUAGAGGGGGGUAGAA
This 605-nucleotide ribosomal RNA is filed under the name Shewanella putrefaciens. RNAcentral's name for it is "bacterial SSU rRNA". It matches the Rfam family "Bacterial small subunit ribosomal RNA", at positions 69 to 666 of the family's 1533-position model. The record is from RNAcentral. Lineage: Bacteria; Pseudomonadati; Pseudomonadota; Gammaproteobacteria; Alteromonadales; Shewanellaceae.